This 476-nucleotide ribosomal RNA is filed under the name uncultured organism. Its description in RNAcentral is "partial 16S ribosomal RNA". It matches the Rfam family "Bacterial small subunit ribosomal RNA", at positions 334 to 801 of the family's 1533-position model. The record is from RNAcentral.
CACUCCUACGGGAGGCAGCAGUGGGGAAUAUUGCACAAUGGGCGCAAGCCUGAUGCAGCCAUGCCGCGUGUAUGAAGAAGGCCUUCGGGUUGUAAAGUACUUUCAGCGGGGAGGAAGGCGAUAAGGUUAAUAACCUUGUUGAUUGACGUUACCCGCAGAAGAAGCACCGGCUAACUCCGUGCCAGCAGCCGCGGUAAUACGGAGGGUGCAAGCGUUAAUCGGAAUUACUGGGCGUAAAGCGCACGCAGGCGGUCUGUCAAGUCGGAUGUGAAAUCCCCGGGCUCAACCUGGGAACUGCAUUCGAAACUGGCAGGCUAGAGUCUUGUAGAGGGGGGUAGAAUUCCAGGUGUAGCGGUGAAAUGCGUAGAGAUCUGGAGGAAUACCGGUGGCGAAGGCGGCCCCCUGGACAAAGACUGACGCUCAGGUGCGAAAGCGUGGGGAGCAAACAGGAUUAGAUACCCCUGUAGUCCCAUGAU